This is a long non-coding RNA of Erigeron canadensis, 537 nucleotides long. RefSeq lists it as uncharacterized. NCBI's taxonomy places the organism in Eukaryota, Viridiplantae, Streptophyta, Magnoliopsida, Asterales, Asteraceae. The record is from RefSeq and is a predicted model, not a curated record. The transcript has 2 exons.
GUUCUACAUGAUGACAGAUUCUGAGGUUGCAACAUAGGCAGGUAGACGAGUUGGGUAAUAAGUGGAUCAAAGACACACUUAAAGGUUAUGAAGUUUUGGGAAGGUAGAGGUUUCUCUAUCCUUAGCCGCAUUCAUAGCUAGCCUUAUGCAGUUCGACAAGUUCUAUACACGAUUGAGUUUCAAGAGUGGGGGCAUCUGCAGUGCCAUUUACUACUAUGGGUUAAGCCGACUCUUUUUCCAAGGUUUUUUUUAAGUUUCCGAAAACGAGAGACCACAGUGGACACAGGUGACCACAUUUCUCAUGGCUGCAAAUCUGGAAUUAUAUGGUGUGGCUUAUUACACUUGGAAGAAACAUAAUUAUGUGGAUAGAGUUAGUAACGAAAUUAAGGGAUGAAGAAGCUUUGAGGGGACUUGGUAAAUUACCACAUGCAUGACAUACAAGACAGUACAACCGUACUAAUUUACAAAGAGUCUUCUAAGUAUGUUUUAAAUAUUGGAUUAUUAUAUAGGAUUUUAAAUAAAAACGCGUUUCAUACA